AGUGAACGCUGGCGGUAGGCCUAACACAUGCAAGUCGAACGGCAGCACAGUAAGAGCUUGCUCUUACGGGUGGCGAGUGGCGGACGGGUGAGGAGUACAUCGGAAUCUACUUUUUCGUGGGGGAUAACGUAGGGAAACUUACGCUAAUACCGCAUACGACCUACGGGUGAAAGCAGGGGAUCUUCGGACCUUGCGCGAUUGAAUGAGCCGAUGUCGGAUUAGCUAGUUGGCGGGGUAAAGGCCCACCAAGGCGACGAUCCGUAGCUGGUCUGAGAGGAUGAUCAGCCACACUGGAACUGAGACACGGUCCAGACUCCUACGAGAGGCAGCAGUGGGGAAUAUUGGACAAUGGGCGCAAGCCUGAUCCAGCCAUACCGCGUGGGUGAAGAAGGCCUUCGGGUUGUAAAGCCCUUUUGUUGGGAAAGAAAAGCAGCAGGUUAAUACCCCGCUGUUCUGACGGUACCCAAAGAAUAAGCACCGGCUAACUUCGUG
This 492-nucleotide ribosomal RNA is filed under the name uncultured bacterium. RNAcentral describes it as "partial 16S ribosomal RNA". It matches the Rfam family "Bacterial small subunit ribosomal RNA", at positions 29 to 507 of the family's 1533-position model. The record is from RNAcentral.